RNAcentral lists this ribosomal RNA (465 nucleotides) under uncultured bacterium. RNAcentral describes it as "partial 16S ribosomal RNA". It matches the Rfam family "Bacterial small subunit ribosomal RNA", at positions 28 to 507 of the family's 1533-position model. The record is from RNAcentral.
GACGAACACUGGCGGCGUGCUUAACACAUGCAAGUCGUACGGUAAGGCCCUUUCGGGGGUACACGAGUGGCGAACGGGUGAGUAGCACGUGAGUAACCUGCCCACAACUUUGGGAUAACGCUAGGAAACUGGUGCUAAUACUGGAUAUGUGCUCCUGCUGCAUGGUGGGGGUUGGAAAGCUCCGGCGGUUGUGGAUGGACUCGCGGCCUAUCAGCUUGUUGGUGGGGUAGUGGCCUACCAAGGCGGCGACGGGUAGCCGGCCUGAGAGGGUGACCGGCCACAUUGGGACUGAGAUACGGCCCAGACUCCUACGGGAGGCAGCAGUGGGGAAUAUUGCACAAUGGGCGCAAGCCUGAUGCAGCAACGCCGCGUGCGGGAUGACGGCCUUCGGGUUGUAAACCGCUUUCAGCAGGGACGAAGCUUUUUGUGACGGUACCUGCAGAAGAAGCACCGGCUAACUACGUG